Molecule: ribosomal RNA, 395 nt
Filed under: uncultured bacterium
Lineage: Bacteria
Description: partial 16S ribosomal RNA
Rfam family: Bacterial small subunit ribosomal RNA
Source: RNAcentral
AGACGAACUGUUCUAACGUUAUUCGGAAUCACUGGGCUUAAAGGGCGCGUAGGCUGUUUGUUAAGCGGGGUCUGAAAUCCCUCGGCUCAACCGAGGAACUGGGCUUCGAACUGGCAGACUAGAGUGAAGUAGGGGUAAGCGGAACUUGCGGUGGAGCGGUGAAAUGCUUUGAUAUCGCAAGGAACACCGGCGGCGGAGGCGGCUUACUGGGCUUCAACUGACGCUUAAGAGCGAAAGCUAGGGGAGCGAACGGGAGUAGAUACCCCGGUAGUCUUAGCCGUAAACUCUGAGCGCUUGUUCGAGGGAGUUUUUUCUUUCUCGAGCGUAGCGAAAGUUUUAAGCGCUCCGCCUGGGGAGUAUGGUCGAAAGGCUGAAACUCAAAGGAAUUGGCGGGG